This 253-nucleotide ribosomal RNA is filed under the name uncultured bacterium. RNAcentral's name for it is "partial 16S ribosomal RNA". It matches the Rfam family "Bacterial small subunit ribosomal RNA", at positions 524 to 776 of the family's 1533-position model. The record is from RNAcentral.
GACAGAGGAGCCAAGCGUUGUCCGGACUGACUGGGCGUAAAGCGCACGCAGGCGGCGCUGCGCGUGGGGUGUGAAAGCUCUUGGCUUAACUGAGAGAGGCCAUCCCAUACGGCAGUGCUCGAGCGGUGCAGAGGUCCGCGGAAUUGCCGGUGUAGUGGUGAAAUGCGCAGAUAUCAGGAAGAACGCCCGUGGCGAAGGCGGCGCUCUGGGACGGUACUGACGCUGAGACGCGAAAGCGUGGGGAGCGAACAGG